Molecule: ribosomal RNA, 921 nt
Filed under: Prosthiostomum siphunculus
Lineage: Eukaryota; Metazoa; Platyhelminthes; Polycladida; Prosthiostomidae
Description: partial 28S ribosomal RNA
Rfam family: Eukaryotic large subunit ribosomal RNA
Source: RNAcentral
GCCCAGCACCGAAUCCUUCACCGUAUUGGUGACAGGAAAUGUGGUGUUUAGGCCGUACCUUGUGCUGAUACGUCUCUCCUCAAGUCCACUUGAUUGUGGCCUCAGGCCCAGAGAGGGUGUAAGGCCCGUGGAGGCGAGAUGUUCAGUACCCGGUGCGUCCUUAGAGUCGGGUUGUUUGGGAAUGCAGCCCUAAGCGGGUGGUAAACUCCAUCCAAGGCUAAAUACUAGCACGAGUCCGAUAGCGAAGAAGUACCGCGAGGGAAAGUUGAAAAGAACUUUGAAGAGAGAGUUCAAGAGUACGUGAAACCGCUGAGAGGCAAACUGGUGGAGCUGAAAGGGCUUGGAGGAAUUCAGCCGUUGGGUAUUGUCAUAACCGUGGUGUGUCUGAUCUCACGACAGCGCACUCGGCUAACGUCAAUUCCAUAGGUGCACUUUCCUCUUUAGCCCAACCACGACCGGUAUAGUGUGAUUGUCCAUCUUACCUGGAAGGUAGCGUUGACUUCGGUGAGCGUAUUAUAGACAGGUUUAUGGAGCGAUUCGUGUACCGGAACCUAACGCCUGCCUCCUCGGAGGCUCACAUGUUGGCUGUCUUGUGAAUGAUUUCUGAUUUCACUACUUCGGUAGGGGAGUUGGAGUCUUUUGCCUUACGGUCGGCCUCUGUGAUUGGCGUUGAUACAGUCUGUGGUUGUGAAGUAGGUAGUCCACCUGACCCGUCUUGAAACACGGACCAAGGAGUCUAACUUGUGCGCGAGUCAUUGGGUUCUACGAAACCUAAAGGCGCAGUGAAGGUAAAGAUUUACAGUGGUAAAUUGAGGUGGGAUAUUGGGUUACGUGCUCAAUCGCACCACCGGCCCGUUCUACUUGUACCUCAAGAGGGCGGAGCAAGAGCGUACACGUUGGGACCCGAAAGAUGGUGAACUA